GAUGAACGCUGGCGGCGUGCUUAACACAUGCAAGUCGAACGAAGCACUUUAACCUGAUUCUCCGGAUGAAGGUCUUUGUGACUGAGUGGCGGACGGGUGAGUAACGCGUGGGUAACCUGCCUCAUACAGGGGGAUAACAGUUAGAAAUGACUGCUAAUACCGCAUACGACCACAGAGCCGCAUGGCCCGGUGGGCAAAACUCCGGUGGUAUGAGAUGGACGCGCGUCUGAUUAGGUAGUUGGUGGGGUAACGGCCUACCAAGCCAACGAUCAGUAGCCGACCUGAGAGGGUGACCGGCCACAUUGGGACUGAGACACGGCCCAAACUCCUACGGGAGGCAGCAGUGGGGAACAUUGCACAAUGGGGGAAACCCUGAUGCAGCGACGCCGCGUGAGCGAAGAAGUAUUGCGGUAUGUAAAGCUCUAUCAGCAGGGAAGAAAAUGACGGUACCUGACUAAGAAGCACCGGCUAAAUACGUG
Molecule: ribosomal RNA, 479 nt
Filed under: uncultured bacterium
Lineage: Bacteria
Description: partial 16S ribosomal RNA
Rfam family: Bacterial small subunit ribosomal RNA
Source: RNAcentral